GAGAAGCUUCGACUAAGGUUCGAUUCGAGCGCAGCGAGAAAGCGUUGCCGCAGGCAACGACCCGAAGGGUGAGGAGC
RNAcentral lists this small RNA (77 nucleotides) under Salmonella enterica. Its description in RNAcentral is "RtT sRNA". It matches the Rfam family "RtT RNA", at positions 24 to 99 of the family's 130-position model. From Rfam's summary of the family: This family represents a bacterial cis-regulatory element known as RtT RNA. Lineage: Bacteria; Pseudomonadati; Pseudomonadota; Gammaproteobacteria; Enterobacterales; Enterobacteriaceae. The record is from RNAcentral.